GACCACAUGGAUCAGUCGGUAGAUUGCCUUCUUAUUGUGAAACGAUGCAGAGGGCUGCUGCAUGAAGGAGACGGAGGUUCGAACCCUCCUGCAGGCA
This is a non-coding RNA of Mycena leptocephala, 97 nucleotides long. The record is from the annotation of a GenBank genome assembly. NCBI's taxonomy places the organism in Eukaryota, Fungi, Basidiomycota, Agaricomycetes, Agaricales, Mycenaceae.